This 338-nucleotide long non-coding RNA is filed under the name Mytilus galloprovincialis (Mediterranean mussel). Lineage: Eukaryota; Metazoa; Mollusca; Bivalvia; Mytilida; Mytilidae. The record is from RNAcentral.
GGUGGAAAGACCAUCAAUGGUUCUCUGAACAAUUGGUUUUUAAUUAUUAUUAUUAUUCUUUUUCCGCCAAACUUUGACGAAGUUAGCCUCCGUAACCGUAAGACGUGUCGCUUUCAUAUUCACACUUUGUAUUCGUGUCAUGAAUACCUAUCCGGAACUCACCCUGUUAGUCGAAAAAUUUUGUCGGUUCGGAGUUAUCCCUCCGAAACCAAAAAACCUUGUUAUCGUUCCAACACCGUAACCGUGAAAGGUAGAGAAAAAACAAAGGGUGAAAUUUGUUCAGGACCAGACCCCGGUUCUUCGUUACAUUUGGAUCGAGAAGAUUCAACGACUCAUUG